CCUACGGGGAGCAGCAGUGGGGAAUAUUGGACAAUGGGCGAAAGCCUGAUCCAGCCAUGCCGCGUGUGUGAAGAAGGCCUUCGGGUUGUAAAGCACUUUCAGUGGGGAAGAAAGCCUUGGGGCUAAUACCCUCGAGGAAGGACAUCACCCACAGAAGAAGCACCGGCUAACUCCGUGCCAGCAGCCGCGGUAAUACGGAGGGUGCGAGCGUUAAUCGGAAUUACUGGGCGUAAAGCGCGCGUAGGCGGUCUGAUAAGCCGGUUGUGAAAGCCCCGGGCUCAACCUGGGAACGGCAUCCGGAACUGCCAGGCUAGAGUGCAGGAGAGGAAGGUAGAAUUCCCGGUGUAGCGGUGAAAUGCGUAGAGAUCGGGAGGAAUACCAGUGGCGAAGGCGGCCUUCUGGACUGACACUGACGCUGAGGUGCGAAAGCGUGGGUAGCAAACAGGAUUAGAUACCCUAGUAGUC
RNAcentral lists this ribosomal RNA (465 nucleotides) under Vreelandella stevensii. Its description in RNAcentral is "partial 16S ribosomal RNA". It matches the Rfam family "Bacterial small subunit ribosomal RNA", at positions 338 to 795 of the family's 1533-position model. Lineage: Bacteria; Pseudomonadati; Pseudomonadota; Gammaproteobacteria; Oceanospirillales; Halomonadaceae. The record is from RNAcentral.